UACAGAGGGUGCGAGCGUUAAUCGGAAUUACUGGGCGUAAAGGGUGCGUAGGCGGUUAUAUAAGUUAGAUGUGAAAUCCCCGGGCUUAACCUGGGAAUUGCAUUUAAUACUGUGUGACUAGAGUAGAGUAGAGGGAAGUGGAAUUUCCGGUGUAGCGGUGAAAUGCGUAGAUAUCGGAAAGAACAUCAGUGGCGCAGGCGGCUUCCUGGCCUCAUACUGACGCUGAGGCACGAAAGCAUGGGGAGCAAACAGG
Molecule: ribosomal RNA, 253 nt
Filed under: uncultured bacterium
Lineage: Bacteria
Description: partial 16S ribosomal RNA
Rfam family: Bacterial small subunit ribosomal RNA
Source: RNAcentral